Molecule: unclassified non-coding RNA, 1496 nt
Filed under: Drosophila mojavensis
Lineage: Eukaryota; Metazoa; Arthropoda; Insecta; Diptera; Drosophilidae
Description: GI25641
Source: RNAcentral
UGGAAAUGGCGCAGACAUCAAGUGGCUUCAGCAUCAUUAGCUCUGGUGCGAGCAAAUGCAAAAUGUCGUGUCAUGGGCAAAUGCAUGCAGCCUGUCAUCUAGCUGCAAGCCCAUACACAUUGAAUGGCCAAUUGUCGCCCACAAUAAGACGACAAGUAUCGAGAGUCUCUGUCUGCACCCACAAUGACAGCCUGCCGGUCAUCAAUAUGGACACGUAGCAGGGAGUGCAGAGCAAUUACUAUUCGAUUGAUCAGUCAUCAUCUUCGCCGCAGAAGCAGCAUACUGGACACCAUCGACGCCAACAACAACAACCAGGAUGUGCAGCAACAGGCAACAGCGAGUCAUCUUUGUGCGUAUAUUGAUGUAUUGUGACCAAAAGCAGUAAUCACGUCGAUUUAAAGCUAAUGAACAAUUGUGUUUGUACUCUCUUCUUCUUCUCAUUUUCACCAUGCGCAAUUGCGACAAGAGUGCGUUAGAUAAUAAGGAGGAGUGGAUUGCUACUGGAUUUUUGUCCGUUGUUUUUCAUGUGAUGGCUGCUCGACCGGUGGAGGGGGGACGAACACGAACAUCAGAGGCUGGCAUUCAAGGAGUGAUGCAGCAGAUCAGUGGCGACAUCCAGCGGGACAUCCAAGGAGUACAGGUAAGUAGUAGGAGUGGAUUCAUCAGCAUCAACUGGAAUUUUAAAAGUGAGACUGGCAGUGGAACCAGCCAUGUAAUCAGCAACAGCACUGGCACUUGGGUGGCCAGCACCAGCUGCUGCAUUGACUGCAGUUGCAUCCACAACUGCAAUGGAUAUGGACAUCGACAUCUUCAUCAGGGGCGUCUGGGGUGGUGGAAUCAGCGCAGCGCGUCAAUCGAGCUGGCACCAUUAGCAGACGUAUUGAUUGCAGCGGUGUAGGCCACAGGAUUAGCAUCAUCUGAUUCUUCCGCGUUGGAAUCAGAAUCAACAAUAAUGAUGACAUCAGCAUCACUGUUGGCAUCACAGUGAACAACGGCAUCCGAUACUGAGUCAGAACGGGCACCAGCAUGGACAUCUGUUGUGGUAGGAGCAGUGGCACCAUCUAUGCAACGAGAGGCGGCAUCAGGGCUGAAACCAGAGCUGUUGUCAUCACGGCUAACGCAAUGUCCCUAGAUUUUGCACUUGCAAUCGCACAAUCUCUAGAGAAGCCAACCGCGUUUCUUUGCGAGCGGAUUCUGGCCCAUAUUUGCUCUCUUCUUGCGUUCGCAACGAUGGAGCUUAGGUGAGUAUUGAUCAUUGAGGUAUAUCGCUGUCUCUGCAGACGCUGUGGCACAAAUGGCUCGGAGGCAAUUUGCCGUGCUGCCAAAUUUGAGUGGUUAAGAAGCCGGCGCACAUAAUUGGCACACAUCACUUCAUAUAUGGAAUCAACUGAGUUGACUUUUAGAUCAGAAUGGAGAUUGUCAUUACUGACGUACCAUGGCGCUCCCGCAAUGGAGCGGAGGAUCUUGUUUUGAGCGACCUGAAUGCGACUGAAACU